AUUGAACGCUGGCGGCAUGCCUUACACAUGCAAGUCGAACGGUAACAGGUCUUCGGAUGCUGACGAGUGGCGAACGGGUGAGUAAUACAUCGGAACGUGCCUAGUAGUGGGGGAUAACUACUCGAAAGAGUGGCUAAUACCGCAUGAGAUCUACGGAUGAAAGCAGGGAUCGCAAGACCUUGUGCUACUAGAGCGGCCGAUGGCAGAUUAGGUAGGUGGUGGGAUAAAAGCUUACCAAGCCGACGAUCUGUAGCUGGUCUGAGAGGACGAUCAGCCACACUGGGACUGAGACACGGCCCAGACUCCUACGGGAGGCAGCAGUGGGGAAUUUUGGACAAUGGGCGCAAGCCUGAUCCAGCAAUGCCGCGUGCAGGAUGAAGGCCUCCGGGUUGUAAACUGCUUUUGUACGGAACGAAAAGCCCCGGGUUAAUACCCUGGGGUCAUGACGGUACCGUAAGAAUAAGCACCGGCUAACUACGUGCCAGCCGCCGCCGUAA
Molecule: ribosomal RNA, 497 nt
Filed under: uncultured bacterium
Lineage: Bacteria
Description: partial 16S ribosomal RNA
Rfam family: Bacterial small subunit ribosomal RNA
Source: RNAcentral